RNAcentral lists this ribosomal RNA (494 nucleotides) under uncultured bacterium. Its description in RNAcentral is "partial 16S ribosomal RNA". It matches the Rfam family "Bacterial small subunit ribosomal RNA", at positions 28 to 523 of the family's 1533-position model. The record is from RNAcentral.
GAUGAACGCUGGCGGCGUGCUUAACACAUGCAAGUCGAACGGGAAAUAUUUCAUUGAGACUUCGGUGGAUUUGAUUUAUUUCUAGUGGCGGACGGGUGAGUAACGCGUGGGUAACCUGCCUUAUACAGGGGGAUAACAGUCAGAAAUGGCUGCUAAUACCGCAUAAGCGCACAGAGCUGCAUGGCUCAGUGCGAAAAACUCCGGUGGUAUAAGAUGGACCCGCGUUGGAUUAGCUUGUUGGUGAGGUAACGGCCCACCAAGGCGACGAUCCAUAGCCGGCCUGAGAGGGUGAACGGCCACAUUGGGACUGAGACACGGCCCAGACUCCUACGGGAGGCUGCAGUGGGGAAUAUUGCACAAUGGGGGAAACCCUGAUGCAGCGACGCCGCGUGAAGGAAGAAGUAUCUCGGUAUGUAAACUUCUAUCAGCAGGGAAGAUAGUGACGGUACCUGACUAAGAAGCCCCGGCUAACUACGUGCCAGCCGCCGCGGUAA